This 170-nucleotide unclassified non-coding RNA is filed under the name soil metagenome. RNAcentral describes it as "partial internal transcribed spacer 1". The record is from RNAcentral.
CAGAGUUGCAAAACUCCAACCAUUGUGAACCUACCUCUAUCGUUGCUUCGGCGGGGGCCUCGGGCCUAACCAGGCCGCCCCCCUUCUGCGGGGGGCCGCGACCCGUCAGGAGGCACCUAAACCUCUUAUUAUUACUGGCCUCUCGUGAGUAUACUUUUACAAUAAGUUCA